CCUACGGGAGGCAGCAGUAAGGAAUAUUGGUCAAUGGACGAAAGUCUGAACCCAGCCAUGCCGCGUGAAGGAUGAAGGCCCUCUGGGUUGUAAACUUCUUUUAUCUGGGACGAAAAAGGGUAUUCUUACCCACUUGACGGUACCAGAGGAAUAAGCACCGGCUAACUCCGUGCCAGCAGCCGCGGUAAUACGGAGGGUGCAAGCGUUAUCCGGAUUCACUGGGUUUAAAAGGGAGCGUAGGUGGGCUGAUAAGUCAGUGGUGAAAUCUCCGGGCUUAACCCGGAAACUGCCACUUGAUACUAUUAGUCUUGAAUUUAUCUGGAGGUAAGCGGAAUAUGUCAUGUAGCGGUGAAAUGCUUAGAUAUGACAUAGAACACCAAUUGCGAAGGCAGCUUGCUACGGAUUGAUUGACACCUGAGGCUCGAAAGCGUGGGGAUCAAACAGGAUUAGAUACCCUGGUAGUCCACGCCCUAAACGAUGGAUACUCGACAUCAGCGAUACACUGUUGGUGUCUGNGNGAAGANAUAGUAUACCACCUCGGAGACGACCGACGAGUAGUAACGUACGAAGAAGUAGAGCGNGAGAGUGACGACGACGACACGAGGGAGGAGG
Molecule: ribosomal RNA, 612 nt
Filed under: uncultured bacterium
Lineage: Bacteria
Description: bacterial SSU rRNA
Rfam family: Bacterial small subunit ribosomal RNA (bases 1-537)
Source: RNAcentral